CCUACGGGAGGCAGCAGUGAGGAAUAUUGGUCAAUGGACGCAAGUCUGAACCAGCCAUGCCGCGUGCAGGAUGACGGCUCUAUGAGUUGUAAACUGCUUUUGUACGAGGGUAAACCCCGAUACGUGUAUCGGGAUGAAAGUAUCGUACGAAUAAGGAUCGGCUAACUCCGUGCCAGCAGCCGCGGUAAUACGGAGGAUCCGAGCGUUAUCCGGAUUUAUUGGGUUUAAAGGGUGCGUAGGCGGUUUGAUAAGUUAGAGGUGAAAUGUCGGGGCUCAACCCCGAAACUGCCUCUAAUACUGUUGGACUAGAGAAUAGUUGCGGUAGGCGGAAUGUAUGGUGUAGCGGUGAAAUGCUUAGAGAUCAUACAGAACACCGAUUGCGAAGGCAGCUUACCAAAAUAUAUCUGACGUUGAGGCACGAAAGCGUGGGUAUCGAACAGGAUUAGAUACCCCAGUAGUC
Molecule: ribosomal RNA, 460 nt
Filed under: uncultured bacterium
Lineage: Bacteria
Description: partial 16S ribosomal RNA
Rfam family: Bacterial small subunit ribosomal RNA
Source: RNAcentral